Molecule: ribosomal RNA, 441 nt
Filed under: uncultured bacterium
Lineage: Bacteria
Description: bacterial SSU rRNA
Rfam family: Bacterial small subunit ribosomal RNA
Source: RNAcentral
AACGCGAAGAACCUUACCCGGGCUCGAAGUGCUACUGACCAGCGGUAGAAAUAUCGCCUUCUCGCAAGAGACAGUAGUAGAGGUGCUGCAUGGCUGUCGUCAGCUCGUGCCGUGAGGUGUUGGGUUAAGUCCCGCAACGAGCGCAACCCUUACUCUUAGUUGCCACCCGCAAGGGGGAACUCUAAGAGGACUGCUCCGGAUAACGGAGAGGAAGGUGGGGAUGACGUCAAGUCAGCAUGGCCUUUAUGUCCGGGGCUACACACGUGUUACAAUGCAUGGUACAAACUGUUGCGAUCCCGCGAGGGGGAGCUAAUCGGAGAAAAACCAUGCUCAGUUCGGAUUGGAGUCUGCAACCCGACUCCAUGAAGCUGGAAUCGCUAGUAAUCGCGGAUCAGAACGCCGCGGUGAAUACGUUCCCGGGCCUUGUACACACCGCGCAUA